This 425-nucleotide long non-coding RNA is filed under the name Lepidothrix coronata (blue-crowned manakin). RNAcentral's name for it is "lncRNA (ENSLCOG00000001337.1)". The record is from RNAcentral. Lineage: Eukaryota; Metazoa; Chordata; Aves; Passeriformes; Pipridae.
GCCAGAGAGACUUUAAAAAUGAGAGCCUCCUUGAAUAUGAGUCUUGGCGUGAAAUGUACUUGAGGCUGUUUAAUCAGAGAGAAGAAAAACUGAAGAUGCUCACAAAAAAUAUUCUUUCAGCUCAGUCUGAGAAACCAAAAGGCAGGCAAGUAAAAAUGGCUUACAUGACCGGUGCAGCAAAACCACCCAGGAACGUUCGCCGACAGCAAGAAAUCCAUGGGACAGCAGGACCUGUCACCCGGUUUCAUCCCAUACAGAAAACAAGGAUUCCAGAAAGCAGAGACAGAAAUAACACAUCAUCAAAUCUGAUUCCUGCUGGCAACACUGGAAGUUCUAGCUCAGGUGUCAUGAUUGAACAUGGAAAGAAGCCUAUCAAAAGUAAAUGGAAUUUCCUAAGAUUAUCAAUUUAGUUGUUUUAACCUGCC